This 88-nucleotide small nucleolar RNA is filed under the name Vicugna pacos (alpaca). Lineage: Eukaryota; Metazoa; Chordata; Mammalia; Artiodactyla; Camelidae. The record is from RNAcentral.
GUUAGCUACUGGUAUAACUAUCAACAUGCUGUUUCCUUUAUUCACAGAACUACAUGUUAGAUCUGUGGGAAAGAACUAUAAGACAAAG